Molecule: ribosomal RNA, 425 nt
Filed under: uncultured Glomeromycotina
Lineage: Eukaryota; Fungi; Glomeromycota
Description: SSU rRNA
Rfam family: Eukaryotic small subunit ribosomal RNA
Source: RNAcentral
CCGGUCCGCACUGGUGUGAUGGAUUCCUACCUUCUGAAUAACCAGCAUGUCAUUAAUUUGGUGCGCUGGGGAAGCAGGACUGUUACCUUGAAAAAAUUAGAGUGCUUAAAGCAGGCUAGUGCCUGAAUACAUUAGCAUGGAAUAAUGAAAUAGGACGGCAUGGUUCUAUUUUGUUGGUUUCUAGGAUCACCGUAAUGAUUAAUAGGGAUAGUUGGGGGCAUUAGUAUUCAAUUGUCAGAGGUGAAAUUCUUGGAUUUAUUGAAGACUAACUUCUGCGAAAGCAUUUGCCAAGGAUGUUUUCAUUAAUCAAGAACGAAAGUUAGGGGAUCGAAGACGAUCAGAUACCGUCGUAGUCUUAACCAUAAACUAUGCCGACUAGGGAUCGGACGAUGUUAAUUUUUUAAUGACUCGUUCGGCGCCUUACG